GGGCACUCUGCCCUGGAGGGCCAGAGCCACUGGCAUCUCUGUGGUCUGCACUGAACCCACAGGUGAGCUCAGCCGAAGGGUGGCAGGAAUGGCCUUUGUCCUCCAGUCCCAGCACCUGCCCGAGUCCAGACAAGACCUGCUUCCUGGUCCACAGCCUUUGCAGCUGAACUCAAGAACCUGGCCUAGUCCUGCUCCACAUGUGACUCCAUCCUGAACCAGUGUGCAGGGUCAAGCACUCUGCUCUGCCCUGGCAGGGGCAGGCAUACACCCAUGCCCUCACCCUUCCUCGGCAGGGUGAGGAACGGGCAAAAGCAGGAAGUGGGCACUGCAGGGACAGCUGGGGCAGGUCCCAAAGCCACUCUGGGCCGCCUGGACCUGUAGUGUUUGCAGAUGGUGUGGAACAGGUGACCUUCCCCUUUGUGUGCCAGUGAGAGGGGGGUGUCAAGGGCUCCAGACUCAGAUCUGUUAACUGUGAAAGCUUUCUACCCGGUCUGCAGAAUGAACCGGCAGCCCUUCUGGGCAUCCUAAUGGAUGGUGCCCCAGCCACAGAGAUGCUUGGGAGCACUGGCCCUUUCCACGCCUGCGUGUGGAUCUGCUGCAUGGGCACGCUGAGUGGGAAAGCAGGUGUCCAGGCUGCCUGACGUUCACUCUGGGGUCAGACGAAGCCAGCUGAGGGCCCUGGGUGAGGACAUGACAGUGACACUGGCUCUGGAGGAGGCCCAGGACACUGGCAGCCUGCCACCCUCAGCAGUGUACAGAGGAGCAGUGUUCCGACCAGGCGUCAGGAUGGAGGCAGCGUGGCUGGAGGUGAGUCUUGGGAUGAGGUCAUGAAG
This 833-nucleotide long non-coding RNA is filed under the name Marmota monax (woodchuck). Lineage: Eukaryota; Metazoa; Chordata; Mammalia; Rodentia; Sciuridae. The record is from RNAcentral.